This 484-nucleotide ribosomal RNA is filed under the name uncultured bacterium. Its description in RNAcentral is "partial 16S ribosomal RNA". It matches the Rfam family "Bacterial small subunit ribosomal RNA", at positions 30 to 507 of the family's 1533-position model. The record is from RNAcentral.
AUUGAACGCUGGCGGCAUGCUUUACACAUGCGAGUCGAACGGCAGCACGGGCUUCGGCCUGGUGGCGAGUGGCGAACGGGUGAGUAAUAUAUCGGAACGUACCCAGAAGUGGGGGAUAACGUAGCGAAAGUUACGCUAAUACCGCAUACGAUCUAUGGAUGAAAGCAGGGGACCACAAGGCCUUGUGCUCCUGGAGCGGCCGAUAUCUGAUUAGCUAGUUGGUGAGGUAAAGGCUCACCAAGGCGACGAUCAGUAGCUGGUCUGAGAGGACGACCAGCCACACUGGAACUGAGACACGGUCCAGACUCCUACGGGAGGCAGCAGUGGGGAAUUUUGGACAAUGGGCGCAAGCCUGAUCCAGCAAUGCCGCGUGAGUGAAGAAGGCCUUCGGGUUGUAAAGCUCUUUUGUCAGGGAAGAAACGGUAGAGGCUAAUAUCCUUUGCUAAUGACGGUACCUGAAGAAUAAGCACCGGCUAACUACGUG